RNAcentral lists this non-coding RNA (30 nucleotides) under Mus musculus (house mouse). Lineage: Eukaryota; Metazoa; Chordata; Mammalia; Rodentia; Muridae. The record is from RNAcentral.
UUAAAUCUUAUGCUGUCUGUCCUUAUUCCU